Molecule: transfer RNA, 74 nt
Filed under: Gammaproteobacteria bacterium SG8_31
Lineage: Bacteria; Pseudomonadati; Pseudomonadota; Gammaproteobacteria
Also listed under: 4 other names
Description: tRNA-Cys
Rfam family: tRNA
About the family: Transfer RNA (tRNA) molecules are approximately 80 nucleotides in length. Their secondary structure includes four short double-helical elements and three loops (D, anti-codon, and T loops). Further hydrogen bonds mediate the characteristic L-shaped molecular structure. tRNAs have two regions of fundamental functional importance: the anti-codon, which is responsible for specific mRNA codon recognition, and the 3' end, to which the tRNAs corresponding amino acid is attached (by aminoacyl-tRNA synthetases). tRNAs cope with the degeneracy of the genetic code in two manners: having more than one tRNA (with a specific anti-codon) for a particular amino acid; and 'wobble' base-pairing, i.e. permitting non-standard base-pairing at the 3rd anti-codon position.
Source: RNAcentral
GGCUAGGUGGCAGAGUGGUGAUGCAGCGGCCUGCAAAGCCGCGUACACCGGUUCGAUUCCGGUCCUAGCCUCCA